This 11586-nucleotide long non-coding RNA is filed under the name Nicotiana benthamiana. RNAcentral describes it as "long non-coding RNA (NBEN_LNC041189)". The record is from RNAcentral. Lineage: Eukaryota; Viridiplantae; Streptophyta; Magnoliopsida; Solanales; Solanaceae.
GAAAACACAUAGUCAAAGGACGAUAUCUGGUGUAAAUACGUAAACACCACAAUUGAUGUGGUCACCUACCUACAUUAAAUAAUAUUAGGCAAGACACCAUGGGUAUAAACCUACAUAUUUCCUGGUUUAUGCAAGUAAAGUCCAAGAGUCAGUAAAUGUUGGAUCUGGACACACAAAAUUUUUAGGUUUCUCUGUGUAAUGCAAUAGUUCUUAGUAUUAGGGUCAGCGACCAGUUCUCCGAAUUCACUGUUUCCGCUUGGGAAGGAAAGGGUAACAACGUCCAUUCAUAUUAAUAUUAAUAAAUUAGUGGCUAUUUUUGCUCAGCAUUAAAAAUGCUGGAUAAAAUAUAAAUACCACUUUAAAUAUUAGCUAACCCAUACAAUUUUUACUUGGAUUAAUUACUUAAGUCCAAUAAGUAUUUUCUGCUGAUUGUUUUCUGCUGUUCUUCCUUCUGUUUUGUUGCCGUUUCCGCCGAUUUUGGUGUUUGGAGUAGCGUGGAUUUCUCAAAAAUUAUUGAAGCUUGGAACUGUGAUUGUUCAUGGUUAAUUUUUGCUGGUUCAUAGUUGCUGAGCUCCUACACAGUCGAGCUUGCUGUAUUUUCUUGUAAACCAGUUGGAGAUCUUUAUAUAUUGAAAAAUUAAGGAAGGAGUUUUCCUGAUGUCCGGAUGAAUCUUGAAGUUUUCUAGCAUUGUGGAACUAUUUUAUUCUUGGUAGUUUUCCCUUGUUUUCUGCCAUUUGGACUUUCAUUUUGUCUCAGAUUGCUGCUUAGUUUCCGCUGACGGGCUUUGGAAAUAGUGGAAUCGUUGGUGACAAAUAGUCAGGAAGGCUUUUACGGUCUGUGCAAUUGGGAGUGGAAUUGAUUUUCCACGCUUGCAACCCGUAUGGACAGUCAAGGGAUUUGUUUGACCAGGCAUACAGAAAGUUUGUGAGUGUUGUCAUCUCCCACUUGUUUCUUAAUACUCUAAGUUCCAAUUUAUGUAAAUCUAUUUCUUAUUUAGUCCGUACAAAAAAGAAUGAUCCCUUUUGCUAUUUGGAAACAAUUUACGUUUACACAAUAACUUAUAAUCACACAAAAUAAAGAUACUUCAUUUUACACUACAAAAUCAAAAAUCUUUUCUCUUUCCUAAAACUCUGUACCCAGUCAUAUGAAUUCACAUAAAUUGUAAGAGAGAGAGUAUGAUAUUAGUUGAAGCUAUUAAUUAUCUGUUGAAGAUUCUAGUGCCUUAAUAUGAAGUUGAUUGCUUUUGUUCACCAUUUUGAUAAUUUCAUUUUUUAUGUGCUAUAAUAGAACAUCAUAUAUUGCGAAUGUGGGAAUUAGGAAAAAAGACAAAAUGAAAAGAAAUUAGGAAAUACAUAUAAACUUUUGCAUUUUUUAUGUGUGACGAUUUUAAUGUUUACAGUUUGUCGUGGUCAGAUGAUAUAUUUUUCCUUAUGUAUAUAAUAUUGUGUUUGGUUAAAAUAUGGAUGGAUAUAUGGUGGUUUAUCUCUGAGAAAUAUUGUAACUUAUAAGGAGGGGUUUCGUUGUGCUAUGACUAAUUAUAUUAGAUUAGCAAGAGGAAGUGGGGAAUAGGGGUAAUUGGUAACUUAUGAAUUAUAAAUUCCCGGCAGCUUAGGAAUAGUGACCAAUUUAACAUGCUUUUAUUAGCUUGUAUAUUUCUUUAGAAAUCGAGGUGCUAUUUACUUGAAUUUUUCAUGGCCUUUGCAAAAUUGUAAGUGCAUGGUUGCUUUAUAAGCGCUAUUUAAAAAUUAUUUUCCUAAAUUCGGGUGUGCAUUUUAUGUGACCCGAAUCCAAAUCUUAAAACAUUGAAUAAGUUGUGUUUUAGAUUGGGGGUGCAUUUCAUAUAAAGUCAUCCGAAGACACGUUUGAAACGAUGUUUAAUCUUCCUUAAAAACUAAUUAAAAGCGGUGAAUAAUUUAAAAUUACACCAUAAAUUGAAACAUGUAGUGAAAUCAGGUAAUAGGCCAAUUAUAAUUAGUUUAAGCAACCGUGCUAGAAUUAUGGAAUCCGGGGUGCCUAACACCUUCCCCGAAUUAACAGAAUUCCUUAGUCAGAAUUUUUGGUCUUCACCUCAAAAGUCAAAAUUUUCAUCGAUUUGGGAUUUAAAAUAAACCUGUAACUUGGGACACCAAAAUCUAUCCCAAGUGGCGACUAUGAUCAAUAAAUAAUUUCAUUUUGAAUAGUGUCACUUAAAUUGAAAAAAUACUCUUGUAGGCUCGUACUAUCUUCGAGUGUGUAAAAACGAGGUGUGACAACAUAUAGAAGUUUUUAUUACAUUUUCCAUGUUAGGUGAAAUUAGGAAAAUGUUAUAUUCUUUGAUGAUUAUUUAUUUUCCUUUUUUCUUUUUCUUGUUCAAUUAGAAGUUGAUGUCCAUAUUUCUUUCAGCAUUUUGUUAUCCUUUUAUACUCGGCAUGGCACCCUGCCACGACCCAAGUUCACCAAUUGUGAACAUGGUAUGAUGGCACCUAGUUUUCAUGACUAGGUAAGCCUAACACAUCGCGAAAGUAACAACAUUUACGAAAAUUAUUUUCCAAAAGCGAAAUAACACGAAUAAUGUAUAGAGUUGCCGCUUGGCACAUACACUUUAACAAUUUACAUUCUGAAACUAUCCCAAAGACCCGAGAACCCACGGGCAAGUACAGGCUAGAGUAAUACAUAACACUACUCCAAUCAUCCAGAAAAGUCUAUAACAAGGAGAACAUAAUAGCAUCCAACUGACUAAACGGGUAGAAUGAGAGGGAGACUCUUCGGUCUACGGAUGCGGCAAAUAUACCUCAAGUCUCAGAAAUGCUCCCUGCAGCUACUGAUAAUGCGCCUGCGGAGAGGUAUCUGGAUCUGCACAUGAAAAGUAUGUGUAGAAGAGGCAUGAGUAUACAACAGCGGUACUCAGUAAGUGCCAAGCCUAACCUCGGUUAGGUAGUGAUGAGGAAAGGCUGAGGCCCUACUAAGAAAAAAAUAUAAUAAUCAAUAGAAUAAGGAAAGACCAUAUGGAUAUAAUCUACCAGGAGAAUCUAGCAAAGUAAUAAAUAAGAUAGUAACCGAGAACUAACAUAGUAACUAAGUAGAAGAGCAAAUCAACACCGGGAAUCUAUCAUCGGGAAUCUCCUGGUAUCCUCAUCCUAUACUCGAGGGAUCUCCUAGUAUCCCGAGAAUCUCCUAGUAUCCUCCAUUAUUACAUAAGGGGUCUCCUAGUAUCCCGAUGAUAACUUAGUAUCCUUAAUUUUACACAAUGGAUCUAUUAGUAUCCCGAGUAUCGCAUGGUAUCCUCCAUUUUAUAAUCAUAUUGUGCUAGGGAUCUCUUGGUAUCCCCCACUCUCAGUCAUAGAACAAAACACAUACAAAAGGAGAUAUCAAAAUGUCGUCUCAUAGUCCUAAUUCGUAAUACCACAUAAUUCAAAUAAGCUAAAGUGCUAAGUAAGAACAAUUUAUAGAAUUUCUAGUCUAGCAUGCUUCACGUAGAAUAGAUAAUACAGUUUAAGCAAUUAAGCAAGUAAGUUAGCUAAACAUGCUUAUCCUAAGCUAGCACAUGUUAAAUUGCAUUUAAAUAGGCAAUUUCGCAAGAAACUAUCGUUAAAUAUUCUAAGUAAAAACGGAUUUUUCAACAUCUAGCAAAAGUACACGCUCGUCACCUCGCAUACCAUGCAUUUAAAAUAGCAAGUAAUAGAUCCUAAGGGGAGAGGUCCCCCCACACAAAGUUAGAAAAGCCACUUACCUUGAACCGGUGCAAAAAUCACUAAGGAACGAUUCCCUUGCCAUGAGUAUCCGACUCCGCAUGGCCCAAAUAUAAACAAAUUACAUAAUAUAAAUAAUAUCACAAGUAACUAAUUUCUCUAUUAAAAUUAAAGAUAAGACGCAAAAAUGGGUAAAAUAACCAAAAUUCCCCUCUGACCAACGGCUCGGAAUUGAAUAAUAUUCAACUUUUCAUAAACCUCGUACUAUCACAAGUCUAACCAUAUCAAAUCUCUCAAAUCGAAGGUCAAUUGCCCCCUUAAAACUCAAUAAUUUAACCAAUGAACAUUCACCUAAAUUCUCCUAUUUUUGAUCCUUAAUUUGAAUUUAAAAGAUGGAUUUAACUACUAAAUGAUGGAAUAUAACUAGAAAAGAUCAUACAAACGUUACCCAUUAAUCUCCUCUUCGAAGUCCCCUCAAAAUCGCCCUUAACCGAGCUCAAAAUUGAAUUUUUCAACUUUUGAAAUAAGGCCUCGGAUAAACCAUUAUCAGAACAGUGGUUUCCGCCUUUUCAGCCCAGGGACCGCUUCUCGGUCCUGCUUUUGCAGAGAAACAACCGAUUUUUUGGUUUCACUUAAACGACCAGAGUCCGCUUUUGCGAACAUUUAACCUCUUUUGUGGUGCCGCUUAUGCUGAGAGGAGACCGCUUCUGUGGUUUCCUGAGGAAGGUCAAAAUCCAGUGCUGCGAUGAAAAAGUUGCUUAUACGGUUCCCAAGCCGCAAAAGCGGAAAUACCGGAAGAGAAAAGCUCAGUUGUUGCACACGUUAGGAAUUCUAGACGUCGACCAUCCGAAACCACCCCGAAGCCCUCGGGACCUCAACCAAAAACACCAAUACCAUAUAACUCGUUAUUCAAACUUUUACCAAUCCUCAAAACCUCCAGAACAACGCCGGAAGCUGAUUAAUUCAAUGAUUCAAGCCUAAGAACUCAUUUUUAAUCCAAAAUGCGCUUUCGAUCAAAACCUAACCAAACCUCGUCUGAUUGACCUAAAAUUUUGCAUGCACGUCCCAAAUGACAUGACGGUGCUACAGAAACUUCCGGAGUUCCAUUCGUCCCUCGGAUCACAAAAUUCACUAUCGGACCGGAAACCUCCAAUUUCUAAUUUUCAGUAUUUCUAGCCAAAAUGAGCUACGGGCAUCUAAACUACAUUCCGAACACGCUCCCAACCCCGAAAUUACCUAACAAAGCUAACGGAACCAUCAGAUUUCCAUUUUGAGGUCGUCUUCACACUGUUCCGAUUACAGACCACUUUCCAAAACUUAAGCUCUCAUUUAGGGACUAAGUGUACCAAAAUACUCCGUUUUCUAACACCGAAUGUCCCGACAAACCAAAAUAGCAGAAAUGAUCUUAGGGGAAGUAGUUGAUGGGGGAACGGGGCAUAAAUUCCAAAGACGACAGGCCGGGUCUUCACAUCCUCCUACACUUAAACAUUUGUUCGUCCUCAAACGAGCAUAGAGAACAUACCUGAAGUAGCAAAAAGAUGAGGGUAUUGACUGCGUAUAUCUUGCUCGGUCUCCCAAGUCACCUCCUUGGCUGGCUGACCCGCCACUCAACCUUUAAUGAAGCUGUAUCCCUUGACCUGAGCUUUCGGACCUACCUGUCUAAUAUUAUCACUGGCUCCUCAACAUAGCACAAGUUAUUGUCCAACUAGACUGAAGUGAACUCCAACACGUGAGACGGGUCACCGUGUAGAUGAGGGUAUUGGCUACACAUAUCCCGCUCGGUCUUCCAAGUCGCCUCCUUGGCCGGCUUACCUUUCCACUGAACCUUUAUUUAAGCUAUAUCCUUUGACAUGAGCUUUCAGACCUGCCUAUCCAAUAUCUCCACUGGCUCCUCAACAUAGGACAAGUCAUUAUCCAACUGGACUGAAGUGAACUCCAACACGUGAGACGGGUCACCGUGGUAUCUCUAAAGUAUCGAGACGUGAAAUACCAGAUGAACCCUGCCAAACUUGGAGGUAAGGCAAGCUCAUAGGUAACCUUCCCAACUCGCUUCAAAACCUCAAAAUGGCCAAUGAUCCUUGGGCUCAACUUCCCUUUAUUCCCAAACCUCAUGACGUCUUUCAUAGGCAAGACCCGAAGCAGAACUAGCUCACCAACCAUAAUGGAAACAUCACGAACCUUCUGGUCUACGUAAAUCUUCUGUCUGGACUAGGCCGUAGAGAGUCUGUCCCGAAUCACCUUAAACUUUUCUACCGCAUCCUAGACCAAAUUAGUGCCCAAUAGCCUUGCCUCACCCGGAUCGAACCAACCCAUCGAGGAUCUGCAUUUCCUACCAUAUAAGGCCUUAUGCGGUGCCAUCUGAAUGCUGGACUGAUAACUAUUGUUGUACGCAAACUCAGCCAAUGGAAAGAACCGAUCCCAAGACCCUCUAAACUCAAUCAUGAACGCAUGGAGUAUAUCCUCAAGAAUCUUAAUGGUCGCUCGGACUGUCCAUCCGUCUGAGGGUCAAAAGUUGUACUUAUAGUCACCUGGGUACCCAACUCCUGCUGGACGGCUCUCCAAAACCAUGAUGUAAACACUGAACCCCUGUCCGAGAUGAUAAAAACUGGAAUGUCGUGCAGACGGACAAUCUCCCUGAUAUAUGUUGACGCCCCCUUUUCUAAGGAGAAAUCGGGUUUACGACAUUAUGGGGGGAUGAAUAUUUUAUCCCUUUGGGCAUUUGGGUUAUGCAUUUGGAUAAUCUCCACCUAAUGAUUAUAGUGCAUUAGGACACUCUUUUAGAGAAAAGAAGAAAUAUUUGAAAGAAAACCAGAGUUUGGAUAAGGGCUUGAGAUUAUCUCGAGUGGAAGGUGUUAGGUACCAUUCAAGAUCCACUAGUGUGGUUCCCGGCAAUGCUUAGUUGUGACUUUUAAAAGAGAUGGAAACAAAUAAGUAAAAUUUGAACAUAUGAGACAUGAACAAGUUGAGAAUUUUACAAGAAAGACGACAUAAAUGAUUUUUUUUAUUAAAAAAGGCAAGAGACAAGCUUGAUGGAAGAAACGUUAAUUUAAGAAGAUAAAUAAAAGAGAGAAAGGGUCCUAGGGUAAAAUAUAAUAUGAAUCAAUUCGGUGCAAUACCCAGCAAUCAUUCUUACACGAGAUAUUAGCGCACCGGUCAUCAUAUUUAUAUUUUACCCUUCCCCACCCCAUAGAGGUUACUUUAGCGUGUGUAUUGAUCACGAAUGCUUAGCGUGUGCUAUUACCCGUCCCAUCCUACAGGUCCUAGAGGGUGUUUAGGACCACUAUUCCUACAAAAAGGGGGGUCUAGGCUGAACCCUUAAGUUUAAAGGCAAAAUACUAAGCGACGUAAAAAAUAAGUAGGACUUCAUAGAAGGGAUCACAUAAAGGCAUGUAAAUAGCUCACGUACCCCUCCACGAAUAUACAUACAAUUAGCACGCAUUUAAGGUCAAAAGAGAGUGAGAGUUUAAAAAACUUGAGUGUCAAAAAUAGGUUUAAAACAGAUGCUGAAAAGUUUUAAAUAAAUUUUCCAGGAAAGAGUUGGAUGAAGACUUUCAGAACUCGAGAAAAGGGCAAUAGAUACGUAACAGCUUAGGAAUCAGAAGAAAAAAAAUUUUACACACUUGAGAAUAUAUAGUAAAGAUACUAAAGAAACAACAUAGAACAAUUUCGGAUGGGAGGAGUAGAAAAAUGUCUAGUACAGAUGUACAAUUAUUCAAAAUUGCAAAAGUACAAAAGAAAGAGAGUGGUAAAUUUAUUAGCUUUUGAACUAUGGGUUUUACAAAAUCACAGAAGAUAUAGUAUUUAGAUAUAUUUUUAGAGAAUAGUUGUACAGUUCCGGAGUGGAAAGGUUAUUUAGCGGAAAACAUAUUUUUUGCACAGAUGUGAUAAAAAAACAGGACGGGAGUUUAGUAGGAAAAAUCUGACGGGCGCUAGAGAGGCAAUACAAAUUCGGACAGUUUAUAGAGGUGAAAUAACUCAAGCAUGAUUUAAGACGAUUAGUCUAUUUUAUCCGGCCUAAGGCUUGCCUAAACGUUGAAGGCAGUGGGCCGGAAUUUUUUUCCAAUUUUACAGUUAACUAGAUUGGUGUUAUUAGAUAUAAUACACUAACGAAGCGUUUCGACAAUUGAAAAUAAACCCUAAGUGCAUGGUAUCUAAUGCAUGUAAGAAUCCUAAAACAUGGUAUCUAAAUGUUGUAGCUUGUUAAUUAUUAACUGUUUGUGAUCAUAGGAUGAGUAAAAUAACAACCUAAAAGUAAAGAGACCUAAGAGAGGUAUUUCUAUUUGUGAGAUGCACGUCCUAAAUCAUGGUUUCUAUUGCACAAAUAGGAAAGUAAAAUCCUAUAGUCAUGUUUUCUACCCAUACCCUUAAUAAUCAUGCAUAACCCUCCCAAUUUCACAAUAAACCUCCAUAGUUCCUUACAAAUUAUAACAGGUUAGGUAAUUAAAUUAAGUAAUGAUGAAUAAAAUAAGAAGCUAUUCUAUAGGGAGCCUUCAGCCAGGCACAUACCUCCAACCUCACUUCUUUCGAGCUUCAAAGCCUUCACCUAUAUUUUGUGUGUGGAAAAUUUCCUUAGGGGUCUCUUGAGACCCCGGCCAAUACCAGGCCCCCAAAACAAAUCACCAUUGAUAAGUUCAAGCGUGGAAGUGCCAACCUUGUGCAUCAAAGUUCAGUGGCCACUCAAGGUACCCAAGGCAAUGCUUACACAAGGGGGCAUGACUUAAUUCUAAGAGUAGUGUGUGAUUGUGAUGGAGUUUGAAGGAGUUGAGUUAGAAACAGUUGAAAGGAAGUUUGAGAAAAACAGUGAUAGAAGAGUGAAAGAGACUUUUUGAAAUCAAUUUAGGCAGACCAGUUUUGAAAACAAAAGAGUCAUACAAACAAGGGCAAGGGAAAGGAGGACAAGUAGUUCACAAGCAAGGAAUGAGAAAAAAUAGUAAUAGGAGAGUGAUAGAGUCCUUUUGAAAUCAAUUUAGGAAGACCGGGUUUGAAAAACAAAAGAGUCAUACAAACAAGAGCAAGGGAAAGGGGGAAAAAUAGUUCACAAGCAAGGAAACUAUUCACACAUGUAUAAUACAUCAAAGAAAAGCAAUCAAGCAUACUUCAAAUAAGGAGUUUAAUUCUUACUGCACCAAACUCCAAAUAGGGUCAACCUCAGGAAGAGGUUUCAAGGCUAUUGAGUAGCCAGGCGGGACCUGAACACAUGCUAGUAGUGCACAGGAGUGAGCAAAAAACAUGUAAUAGGAGAGGGGACAGUGACAUGCCAAGUCAGGCUAGGCAUACUAAUUAUCAUAAGUAUAUGCUAGUGGCAAUAAGAACAAGAAGAGGUUGCAAGGCUAUUGAGUAGCCAGGCAGGACCUGAACAGAUGCUAUUACUGCACAGGAGUAAGGAAAAAAACAUAUAUUGGGAUAGAAGAGGGGGAAGUGACAUUCCAAGACAGGAUAGGCAUACUAAAUAUCAUAAGUAUAUGCUAGUGGAAAUAAGGACAACAGAACCAUAAGUAAAAACACACAAGAAACAAGAGGAAGUGCAGCAAUAUACAUGAAGUGUGCAGAGCAGCAGUAUGCAGGAAGUGAGAAGCAGUAUGCGUGGCCAAAAAAGUUCCGUUUCUUUAUUCAAUAUUAAGCACUGGCUCCAUAGCCAUGGAGGCAGAGUACUCGAGGGUUCUUUUCUAGUUUGUUUUCCAUAUGGCUUUGGCUAUUCUUUUUUUCUUAAGAAAGUUUGUCUCUGGAACUUUGUGUACUUAGUGUCAUGACCCUCCUCAUCAUUAUACCACGUAGGUGCCAUUUGAAUUAUAUUUUUUCCAUAUGGAAGGGUUAUAUAAUUUUGAGACUAAAUCUUGGUGGAAUAUUCUAGAAACUAUGGAGAAUUUCCUUGCAAAGCACUAGAUAUUUUUGCACUUGUAGUUUUAGAGAAAUAUGGAGAUUUCUCAUGGAAGACCUUAGAAUCCUGUGGAUUUUCUAGGAAAGUACUUGGAAUCUUCUAAACUUGUAGAAUAUUCUAGAGAAUGAACUUAUUUAUAAAUAUGGAAGGACUUGUAGAAUAAUUAUUAUUUGCAUACUAGACCCUAGGUGAUUAGUAUAAAUAUGAAGCAUCAUUUUUAAUUCACCAACUAAUCAAAUAAUUCAAGUUUUCUCUAAUGCGAUGUGAUGAUUCGACCCUUCGUCUCAUGUGUCACCGCCUCGUUUUCCCCAUAUUAUGCUUCUUCAGUUUUUAUUAUCGGCAUUCGGUGGGUUAGAGUUGAUUUGGAUUGGUUUUGGUAGGAAAUGAGACACUUAGUCUCUUCAAGAAAGGUUUGUUUCGGAAAAGUCAACCGGAUGUUGACUUAUGAGUUAGAGGGAUCAUAUUUGAUUUUUGUUGAUUCAGUUAGCUUCGGGUGUGAUUUGUGACUUAUGAGUGUGAUCGGAAGUGGAUUUGGAGGUCGGGUGUAGAAUUAAGCUUGUAUUGGCGAAGUUAGUAUUUUGGCGAUAUCCGGUUGAUAGAUGAGAUUUUGAUCCGAGAGUCGGAAUGGAUUUCCAAGAGUUGAGGUAGCUCCAUUAUAUGAUUUGGGAUGUGUGUGUCAGUUGAUUCGGAAGUGUUUUGAUUGGGUUUUUGAUCAAAUGCAUGUUUCGUAAAGUUUUUGAAAGCUUAGGCUCAAACUGGAUGUGAAUUGAUGGUUUUAAUGUUUUUUGAGGUAUUUCCUAGAUUGGAACAAAUUUGAAUAAUGUUUUAAGAUGUGUUGGUACCUUUGGUUGAGGUCCCGGGGGCCUCUGGAUAAUUUCGGGUGGUCAACCGGACCGUUUUUGGACUUAUAGAUUGCAGGUUCGGCUGUUUGUGUUGCAGAAGAAAAUUUCUCUUCAUGUUUGCAAGGGUGAGUUGCGAAUGCGUAGAGGUGAUUUGGGUUGCCUGGAAUUUAGUCUUCGCGAUCGCGUGGCAUAGGGUCGCAUUCGCAUAGUUCUGAAAGGUGAAGCUUCGCAUUCGCCAGGAUCACGCAUUCGCAUAGAAGGAAGUCAAGGCCCUGAGUAUUUGUUCAUCGGGAUAGCACCAUAGGGACGCGUUCGCAUAGUUGGAGGUCCUGAUGGUUCACGUUCGUGGGGUGGGAGCCACGUUCGUUCAGGGAUAAAUUUUGGCCAGCAUUUUUGUUCAUCGCGAACGCAGAGGUAUUGACCACAUUCGCAUAGGGUAAAAAUGCACCUGGGCAGAAUGGUUUUUAUAAUAUUUCAUCCGCAAGUCUAAGUUAUUUUCCUCCAUUUUUGAGCACCUUGAAGAUUUUUGGGAGCAAUUGAAGAUGGUUUCGAAGAGGAUUGAUUGGAGGUAAGUACUAUGAACUAAAAAUAUGAUUUAGUAGAGAAAUUUACCUUGAAAUUCUUGGAAACUUAGCAAAAAGGGGAAGAACUAGGGCUUGAGUUUGAGAUUUUUAAAUGGGGGAUUUGAGGGGUGAUUUGAACUCCAAUUUUGGUAUUCUUGAUAUGUAUAAACUCGUGGAAAGACGGGGAAUCCGGUGAUUUGAAUAUCAUAAUUUUUCAAGAAGUAGGCCUGGGGUUGGGUUUUGCUAGUUUCAAGAUUUCUGCUGCUUUUCAAUUUUUUCUGAUCAGGUAUUGUUCCCUUAGCAUAUUAUGAUGUAUUUUCUCUGAUUUUGGUUAGAUUCGACGCACGUGGAAGCUGAUUUGAGGGGCUAAGGCGUCGGAAGCUAUAGAUUUCUCCGGUUCGAGGUGAGUAAUAUUUGUAAAUGAUAUCCUGAGGGUUUAAAACCCCGGAUUUGCACACCAUAGUGUUGUAUUAAGGUGAAUUGCACGCCGGAUAACGGGCAUGGGGUAGAACACCAUUGGGGAUUGUGACUUGGUCCAUCCCGAGAGAGGUUUUUAUUGUGUUUUCUACUUGAACUAAGUUGAAAAUUAUCCUUAUUUUUAUUUGAUUGCUACAUUUGGGGCUUCUUGCCAAUU